Molecule: long non-coding RNA, 774 nt
Filed under: Homo sapiens (human)
Lineage: Eukaryota; Metazoa; Chordata; Mammalia; Primates; Hominidae
Description: small nucleolar RNA host gene 15, transcript variant 3 (SNHG15)
Source: RNAcentral
GGGACUACGCGGUGACGUCGAGGUGCGCGGCGCAGCGCGCGGCGUCAGUCUUGGCUGGCAGACCUGUACUCCGUACUCCGUACUUCGUAGUCGCAGCGGCGCGGUCUUCGGCAGUCUAGUCAUCCACCGCCAUCCUGGGCCCCACGUGUUGCCUGACCAUUCCUGAGCCCAGGUGGGAGCCGUGGCUGAGGUGACGGUCUCAAAGUGGAAGAGCUUACUGUCACAGCAACUCCUUUGCAAGAUGCCCCGUGUCCAUGAAACUGGGAGGCGACCGUGUUAGCUGCCAGUUCCUGACAGCCACCUCUCACCAGUGGCUUCACUCUGUGUCCCUGACCCAGCACAUGGCACAAGAGUGCCUGCCAUCCGUCAGUGUUUCUACAGCAGCAAUCCCAAGAUGCUGGAGCUAGAGGGGACCUGACCUGAGAGAAGAUACCUUCAGUGGCUGCCAGGCUGUUCCUUGGAACCUGUGCAGGGAUGAGGCCUGCCUGUGUUAAUACACCUAGUGAGGAGUGGAGCUGAAUUUGAAUGCAAGCCUUGGCACCUUAAUUGAGCAAGUUUGAAACCUCGCUUGUUGCCCUUCUGGAAGGAGUCAGGAAUUUCCAGUUCUGGGCCUGGGCUGUGGGUCUGGCAGACAGACCUCUGGCCCUAGGUUUGGGUGCCAGGUUCUCUGCUUCCAGAAUGAGAAGCUUUGCUGUGCACCAGGACCUGGGCCCUUCUGGUAUCUCCUGAAUGAAAAACAAGGGAUAUUUAAUAAAUAUGGAUUUAAAUAUGUGA